UACGAAGGGGGCUAGCGUUGUUCGGAAUUACUGGGCGUAAAGCGCGCGUAGGCGGAUAAGUAAGUCAGGGGUGAAAUGCCGAGGCUCAACCUCGGAACUGCCUUUGAUACUGCUAAUCUGGAGUACGGGAGAGGUGAGUGGAAUUCCGAGUGUAGAGGUGAAAUUCGUAGAUAUUCGGAGGAACACCAGAAGCGAAGGCGGCUCACUGGCCAGAUACUGACGCUGAGGUGCGAAAGUGUGGGGAGCAAACAGG
Molecule: unclassified non-coding RNA, 253 nt
Filed under: Alphaproteobacteria bacterium
Lineage: Bacteria; Pseudomonadati; Pseudomonadota; Alphaproteobacteria
Description: contains 16S-23S intergenic spacer region
Rfam family: Bacterial small subunit ribosomal RNA
Source: RNAcentral